UCUGAAUUUUUGUCAUUAUCCUUCUCUUCAGACUCAACAACUACACUGUCAUCAUUCUUAUUCUUCCGCCUUGUCUCCAUGCUCCUCAGAAGCUCCCCUAUCUCUGCCAUGGCUUUAGAAUCAUACUCACUGCAAUCAAAAGCUCCCCUAUCUCUGCCAUGGCUUUAGAAUCAUACCCAC
Long non-coding RNA from Salvia miltiorrhiza (redroot sage), 180 nucleotides. RefSeq lists it as uncharacterized. The transcript is spliced from 2 exons. NCBI's taxonomy places the organism in Eukaryota, Viridiplantae, Streptophyta, Magnoliopsida, Lamiales, Lamiaceae. The record is from RefSeq and is a predicted model, not a curated record.